This 255-nucleotide ribosomal RNA is filed under the name uncultured bacterium. RNAcentral's name for it is "partial 16S ribosomal RNA". It matches the Rfam family "Bacterial small subunit ribosomal RNA", at positions 524 to 776 of the family's 1533-position model. The record is from RNAcentral.
UACGUAGGGUGCGAGCGUUUGUCCGGAUUUAUUGGGCGUAAAGAGCUCGUAGGCGGUUUGUCGCGUCGGCCGUGAAAUCUCCACGCUUAACGUGGAGCGUGCGGUCGAUACGGGCAGACUUGAGUUCGGUAGGGGGAGACUGGAAUUCCUGGUGUAGCGGUGAAAUGCGCAGAUAUCAGGAGGAACACCGGUGGUGAAGGCGGGUCUCUGGGCCGAUACUGACGCUGAGGAGCGAAAGCGUGGGGAGCGAACAGG